RNAcentral lists this ribosomal RNA (469 nucleotides) under uncultured Glomus. RNAcentral describes it as "SSU rRNA". It matches the Rfam family "Eukaryotic small subunit ribosomal RNA", at positions 569 to 1043 of the family's 1831-position model. The record is from RNAcentral. Lineage: Eukaryota; Fungi; Glomeromycota; Glomeromycetes; Glomerales; Glomeraceae.
AGCAGCCGCGGUAAUUCCAGCUCCAAUAGCGUAUAUUAAAGUUGUUGCAGUUAAAAAGCUCGUAGUUGAAUUUCGGGAUUAGUACGUCGGUCGUGCCUUCGGUACGUACUGGUGUUACUGAUUCCUACCUUCUGACGAACCAUCAUGUCAUUAAUUUGGUGUGGCGGGGAAUCAGGACUGUUACUUUGAAAAAAUUAGAGUGUUUAAAGCAGGCUCGCGCUUGAAUACAUUAGCAUGGAAUAAUGAAAUAGGACGUUGACCCUAUUUUGUUGGUUUCUAGGAUUGACGUAAUGAUUAAUAGGGAUAGUUGGGGGCAUUAGUAUCCAAUUGUCAGAGGUGAAAUUCUUGGAUUUAUUGAAGACUAACUACUGCGAAAGCAUUUGCCAAGGAUGUUUUCAUUAAUCAAGAACGAAAGUUAGGGGAUCGAAGACGAUCAGAUACCGUCGUAGUCNNAACCAUAAACUAUGCC